AUUGAACGCUGGCGGCGUGCUUUACACAUGCAAGUCGAACGGUAACAGCCUUUCUGGUUCUGAUGCUUGGCGGACGGGUGCGUAAUUCAUCGGAACGUACCCAGCGGUGGGGUUUAACGCAGCUAAAGCUGUGCUAAUACCGCAUGUGAUCUGAGGCUGAAAGCGGGGGACGGCGCAGCAAUGUUUGGCCUCGCGCGUUUGGAUCGGCCGAUGUCGGAUUAGCUAGUUGGUGGGGUAAAGGCCUACCAAGGCGACGAUCCGUAGCUGGUCUGAGAGGACGGUCAGCCACACUGGGAGGGGGACACGGACCAGACGACUAAGGGAGGCAGCAGUGGGGAAUGGUGGACAAUGGGCGCAAGCAUGAUCCAGCAAGGCCGCGUGCGGGAAGAAGGCCUUCGGGGCGGAAAGAGGUUUUGGGAGGAAUGAAACGGUGUCGGCUAAUACCGGGCGCUAAUGACGGUACCUGCAGAAGAAGCACCGGCUAACUACGUG
Molecule: ribosomal RNA, 492 nt
Filed under: uncultured bacterium
Lineage: Bacteria
Description: partial 16S ribosomal RNA
Rfam family: Bacterial small subunit ribosomal RNA
Source: RNAcentral